This 119-nucleotide ribosomal RNA is filed under the name Acanthamoeba castellanii str. Neff. The record is from RNAcentral. Lineage: Eukaryota; Discosea; Longamoebia; Acanthamoebidae.
GGAUACGGCCAUACUGCGCCCAAAGCACCGCUUCCCAUCCGAACAGCGAAGUUAAGUUGCGCCAGGCGGUGUUAGUACUGGGGUGGGCGACCACCCGGGAAUCCACCGUGCCGUAUCCU